CCUACGGGAGGCAGCAGUAGGGAAUAUUGGUCAAUGGGCGGAAGCCUGAACCAGCCAUGCCGCGUGCAGGAAGAAGGCCCUCUGGGUUGUAAACUGCUUUUGACAGGGAACAAGUCGGCCAUGCGUGGCUAAGUGAGUGUACCUGUAGAAUAAGCCACGGCUAACUACGUGCCAGCAGCCGCGGUAAUACGUAGGUGGCAAGCGUUGUCCGGAUUUAUUGGGUUUAAAGGGUGCGUAGGCGGCCAUGUAAGUCAGUUGUGAAAUACCCCGGCUCAACCGGGGGGGUGCGAUUGAUACUGCGUGGCUUGAGUGGCAGCGAGGUUGGCGGAAUUGACGGUGUAGCGGUGAAAUGCAUAGAUAUCGUCAAGAACACCGAUAGCGAAGGCAGCCAACUAGGGGCCAACUGACGCUGAGGCACGAAAGUGCGGGGAUCAAACAGGAUUAGAUACCCUGGUAGUCCGCACAGUAAACGAUGAUCACUCGGUGUUGGCGAUAUACAGCCAGCGCCCAAGGGGAAACCCGAUAAGUGAUCCACCUGGGGAUACGCCGGNAACGGUGAAACUUAAAUGAAUUGACGG
RNAcentral lists this ribosomal RNA (578 nucleotides) under uncultured bacterium. RNAcentral's name for it is "bacterial SSU rRNA". It matches the Rfam family "Bacterial small subunit ribosomal RNA", at positions 338 to 916 of the family's 1533-position model. The record is from RNAcentral.